RNAcentral lists this ribosomal RNA (215 nucleotides) under uncultured bacterium. Its description in RNAcentral is "partial 16S ribosomal RNA". It matches the Rfam family "Bacterial small subunit ribosomal RNA", at positions 1278 to 1500 of the family's 1533-position model. The record is from RNAcentral.
AAGACCUGUCUCAGUUCGGAUUGGAGUCUGCAACUCGACUCCAUGAAGCUGGAUUCGCUAGUAAUCGCGCAUCAGCCAUGGCGCGGUGAAUACGUUCCCGGGCCUUGUACACACCGCCCGUCAAGCCAUGGAAGCCGGGAGUGCCUGAAGUGUGCAACCGCAAGGAGCGCCCUAAGGUAAAACUGGUGACUGGGGCUAAGUCGUAACAAGGUAAC